This is a long non-coding RNA of Acyrthosiphon pisum (pea aphid), 1335 nucleotides long. RefSeq lists it as uncharacterized. The transcript has 5 exons. The record is from RefSeq and is a predicted model, not a curated record. NCBI's taxonomy places the organism in Eukaryota, Metazoa, Arthropoda, Insecta, Hemiptera, Aphididae.
UAAUUAAAUUAGAUUUUUGGAAAAUGUUUAUAUGCAAUUACAAUUAUUUUAAUCUUGUUCGGGCUUAUUUAACUAACAUCGUUCUAGGUGUAAGGUACUCAGUACUCACUGAUUAUAUAUAGCCGCAUUACAUUUUUAAUUUUUGUACUUCAAAAAGAGCGUAUUCCUCCUCUGGUUAUCAGUCGAUAUAAUUAUAAACACUUUGGGUUUAGGUAUGGUCAGGUCGUAUGUACUUAACACACAUGACACAUGUAUACAAUAUUUCUGGUCUCAGCCCUCCAGGAUACAGUGACCGUGGGAUACUGGAUGUUGUGCGCACAUCUUGCAUUACUAACACCGAUUAAACGCUUUUUUAUUAAAGCUAAAACCUACAAUUUAUUAUUUAAUGCAAUGAGAUGAAAACAAUUAUUGCAUAUAUUAUGUGCAAACUGCAAACAUACAGUUAUCUAUAGCGUGUUAUAUUGUUAUUUAAACAUUUGAAAACCUAACUAUGAAUGGCAUUGACACACUUCUAUCUCAAUCAAGUGCCAUGCCGUGAAGACUACUUAAAAAAAACGCUGAUACCAAAGUUGAGUGGGGCGGUCUACUGCAGGGUGUGGGUUAUACAAUUUUUAAGUAAACAUAACAGUCGAAUCAUAACAUCAUCGUCAUCAUGGUUACCAUCGUGGUCAAGGUGAGUUAUAUUUUAUCGGCAACAUGAAGUACUUACAUCAUUUUUGUCAUAUAUCGUAAGUUAAUAAUACAAAUACUAAUGAUUAAGAGCGAUUAUUCCUAUAACCUGCUCAACGCAUCAUGAUUUUUAGAUUAUAACCUUUCUGCCCAUUCCUUGUUUAAACAAGAUCUACAUAACAAACAAGGUUUAGGUAAUAUCCGUAUUCCCUCUGGACGAUCAUCCUGCUGACCCAUAGGUAUUGCGUGACAUCUAACCACCGUACAGUCAACUGUAUGAAACUAAACGAACCGCAUUGCUGUGCGAUUGGUCAGGUUGGAUGUCUGGUUCCAUUCAGUGUGUCACUGUGUCUCUAAUGAUGAACUGGUUUUUUUUUUACCAUGCGGUCAAUGACCUCGAGCACUAGAGGCGACAGCACCUUUUCCUUGCUGGAAGACAGUCAAUUUAAAGCGAACUCUUCUACUACUGACUACUGUACAGACAAUAACUGCCUAAGUACCUAUACAAAAUAUGGAUUAAAAUCAAUAUUUGUGGCUUGAUAUCAUAGUAAAAUUGUCACACAUCGCACAUAAGUAUAAUUGAUUCAAAAUUAGGAUACUAUAAUAUACUAUAGUCUAUAGCCGUAUAGCUAAUAUGUUAUUCUUUAUUAAUUUAGUAAUCAGUAU